UAUACAACGCUGACAGCAGGACCAAUGUAACUUCAGAGGGGGAUGCCAGUGUGAUAGUAUUUUACAGAUGUUCACCUGGAAAACAUCUCCACUGAUACAGGUUGAAGCUUAAUGGCCUGCAAAUUGCCCCAAGCUCAGUUGCAGCUACCCAAACAUCCGUCAGUCAGCGAACAAAUGAUCUACUUCAAGAAGACGAUGGAAUCGGUGCCGUGCCUGAAGUUGACUCCCAAGAGUAAAAGCUGCUCUCAGCUCCUGUGUUUCUAGGAGGCUCCUCGCAACAGCUCCACAUACAUGCAUGAAGACUUUUCCAUCAGUCGGGAGAUAACAAGUGAAAAGGUGAGCCGGCGAGUGAGAGAAGACAUGCUGGCAUAGCAAUAAAUCUAGACAUUGAAAUGAUUGGGUUUAUUCAACCCCAGAGUUUUACAUACAAAACACUUAUUUAUUUGUUCUGUAAUUGUUGUAGAAGCACUAAAUAUAUGACCUUUUUGAAAAAAACUAAACAAAACAGAAAUUAUAUUUUUUUAUAAAGGAAAAGAAACAGUGUCAACUUGUUAAGUCGGGUCAAAUGAACAGUGUUAUUGUAAGGGUUAUUGAUUCAAUCCAUACAUGGGAAGUCAAUACUUGCUCCUCAAAUUGGGAGAUCAAAGUUGAGUUAUAUGCACAUCUAUCAGUCUGCUCACAAGGUUCUCAUACAUGGUGAUUGUAAAGCAAGAUUGUGAUUUGACCUGUUCCGUGGCGUGUAGUUGGUGGCAGGCAGCCUAUCUGUAACACACUGCCAGUGUGUGUGUAUGUCUGUGUGUGUUGAGGAAAGUCAGUGAAGCAAAGACAGAGCAUGCACUUGAAUGAUUGAGGUUACCCGGGUGACCUCAUAAACCAAAACCCGUGGCAGUCUCCCAAGGUGAACGCUGAAUUAUGCCGUCAUUAAAGGACAGGCCCAGUUGCCAAGGUUAGUAUGUAAAGUAUAAUCAUCUUCCUCCCCCUUCUUCCAGUCACUCAUUAGUCCCCCUCAUGGGCCAACAGAGAUUAUACCUUGAACUUGCUUGACUAUCACUAUCUGCCCAGUGGGAAUGAUUCCGCUAUGGGCCAUUUGUAUCCCCCUCCCACCACCUUGCCAAGCUAGCCAGGCCUACAAAUUCUGCAGGUGUAGUGUCUGGAUGUGCGUGAGAGUCAUAGUGUACCUGAGUGUGUGUGUGUGUGUGUGUGUGUGUGUGUGUGUGUGUGUGUGUGUGUGUGUGUGUGUGUCUUGUCGUCCACACUCUGCACCCAGAUCAUCGAGUUUGUCCCAUAAAAAAUGAGGGAUGCCUUGACUUACUGCCACAUUAUGCCCCAAUUUAUAAGAGAACCACUGGGAAGAAGCCCAGUGGCAUUGUAACAAUUUGUUAGAAUUAGGACCAUUUGUUUUGUCUCCCUGGGCACUCAGUGCUGAUUCAAAUCCGUUGCUUCCAAAACUGUCUCAGUCACCAUUUUAAGUGCAACAAUAUCCCAUAAAUAAGUGCCUAACAUAACUACAUCCUUCAUCUGCAAAGGGCUAUCCAUUGAAAUUAAAGACAAUCAAAAUAUAUAAUGCAAUAAAGCACUAUGGACACUUUGGGGCACUGCAUCAUAUUAGUAUGCAUACAGGGCAGCCAAGUUUAAUCAAACCCUGGAGAGCAACCAAAGGUUUAGUUUUUAGAAAAGUUAUGUGAUGCUAAAGUCAACCCUGAUGUUUUUGGAUUGAUUUUCUUCUGUUUACCUGACUUUGACCACUCAGAAACAAGUCACAGCAAACACUUUGAUUGAAGUUAUAAAGUGCUCAUUUUGCCUGGCAGUUCCUCUUUUAAAAAAAAUAUUCAAAGGCACUAUGUGAUGAGCUGUAAUCUUGUUAAAUAUUGUGGCAGUUAUAUGAACAGAUUGUUUAUGUUUGCAUGAUGUGCAAUGAUGGACAAUGUUCAUCCACUUCCUCAUUUACUCCAGCCAACUGACUACUAUUGUUGGUAUAGUAAGAGGGGUUUUCAUUUCCAAACUGGCAGCAAAACUGUGCACACUUCAAGCAUGCUUCUAUUUGGUUGUACAGCUUCUGAAAGGUAACACAUUCAGACUGGAUUGAUGUGUCUUAUGUGAGUUACUCCGUCUUUAUAUUUAGUGAUUAUUAUUUUUUGCUGCUUUGUGUGAAUGAUUUUAUUACAAAAAAAGUAAGUGUUAGUGUUAUAUUCUUGGAUUAAAGCAUCAGAGGCUUUGUCAGCAUAUCUCAAUCCCCUUAAGAGAUUAAAGGAUCGCUUUGUGUCUCUAAAGUUGGGAAAAAAAGGAGUGUGAUCAAGAUAACGGAGUUUUAUGCUGGACAAUGAUAGAGAUCCAAAGGGGAGAGAAGGAAAGGUGUGCCACGCGCUCUUAUGAACACUAAGCGUCAUGAUCAUCAAGUAGACUUUGUAUUGUCAAAUAAUGCUUUGUUAUUGUCUUUUUGAAAAUACUGUCUUGUGAUGUACUUUUCUUUCAAAUGGAUUAAAGCAAACUGACAAGCUGGAA
Long non-coding RNA from Notolabrus celidotus (New Zealand spotty), 2502 nucleotides. RefSeq lists it as uncharacterized. The record is from RefSeq and is a predicted model, not a curated record. The transcript is spliced from 6 exons. Lineage: Eukaryota; Metazoa; Chordata; Actinopteri; Labriformes; Labridae.